UAAGUUUCAUUCGAAUCAACGAGCCACUUCUGUUAUUCCCAGUCCCUCUGGGUCGGAUUAGUCGUCACACCCUGGAAGAGGAAGUAACAGAGCCACCAAGAGAAAUGACUGGCUGACAAUAGCAGAGCCAGGAAUAAAACACAAGAAACUUUGUCUCCAGAGAUAACACCCUUGAGUACAACAAUAACAACCGUUCAAACAAAAAAAAUUUUUUAACAGUCAUUUUUAAUAAAAAUUAACAAUAAUUGAA
Molecule: non-coding RNA, 250 nt
Organism: Macaca mulatta (Rhesus monkey)
Lineage: Eukaryota; Metazoa; Chordata; Mammalia; Primates; Cercopithecidae
Source: RefSeq, a predicted model, not a curated record